RNAcentral lists this ribosomal RNA (380 nucleotides) under uncultured cyanobacterium. RNAcentral's name for it is "bacterial SSU rRNA". It matches the Rfam family "Bacterial small subunit ribosomal RNA", at positions 376 to 770 of the family's 1533-position model. Lineage: Bacteria; Bacillati; Cyanobacteriota. The record is from RNAcentral.
CGAAAGCCUGACGGAGCAAGACCGCGUGGGGGAGGAAUGCCUUAGGGUUGUAAACCCCUUUUAUCUGGGAAGAACAAAAUGACGGUACCAGAUGAAUAAGCCUCGGCUAACUCCGUGCCAGCAGCCGCGGUAAUACGGAGGAGGCAAGCGUUAUCCGGAUUUAUUGGGCGUAAAGCGUUCGCAGGUGGUUCAUCAAGUCUGCUGUUAAAGCGUGCAGCUCAACUGCAUAUAGGCAGUGGAAACUGUUGAACUAGAGUAUGGUAGGGGUAGGGGGAAUUCCCAGUGUAGCGGUGAAAUGCGUAGAUUUCGGGAAGAACAUCGGUGGCGAAAGCGCUCUGCUGGGCCGCAACUGACACUCAGGGACGAAAGCUAGGGGAGCG